AGGUAGUUGAAGUUUCACAUGUGAUGGAUUGAAAAACAGUACUUGAGAGAUUCAUACAUUCUGUAUUUGCUUACUGCAUUUUGUUGGGCAUGGGUUUAAACAAAAUGGGUCUUGCAUCCAAAAUGUAAUCUGGAUGUCUGUGAACAGAAGCAGGCAGAGGAACACAAACCAUUUGGGCAUCCUGUUCCUUUGCAGGGGCAUGUAAACACUUCUUUCUGAAAUAGCAAGGUGGGCAACAUUUAGCAGUCUGUUAAAUAUACAGACUGAUUUUUUAGGGUAAUGAUUUACUGGAAGUCUGGAAAAUGUGUAUUUCUGAUUGAGCCAGUUCUGUACAUCCCUCCUGUUCAGAGUCCUGUCAGCGCUGAGACUUAAAAACCCCUCACAUUAGCAUCUGAUGUUUCUCAUUAGGCUCAUAAAGAAUACAAAUGAAAUGCAUCUCCUCUACAACUCCCGUCUUUUUGGGAUGACUGUAGCCUGCUUCACUUUUAAAGACACUUUCUAUUUACAUUUGGCACCUGACCCAAAACACCUCUGUUUCAGAGCGUUUCAGUUCAAACCCAUGCUGCCCAAAGAAGCAAGCACUGAGCUGCCAUUUAAAAAAGACAAAAAAGAGGAAAUCGUGGGGAAGAUUUGCAUAUACAAGUUCAUGAAAACAGGCAGCAAGGAAGACAAGGGCCCCAGCCGUGCCUUCCACAAUGGAUACGACUACAACAUGAGCCUCACCAGGCAGAGGUGCCAGUCUAGGUACAUGAAGCCACGAGAAACCAAUUUUAUUAGCAUUGCUGCUCAGACAGUUAUUCAAAUGUUUUUCUUUGCUGGGGGCAUUGCUCUUGCCAUUGACUCCACUAUUUUCAACUGCAGCAUUAUCUGCUAUGAUCUAAGAAACACUUCACUCCUGCUUCAGGUGCAUUUUGUUUUAGAACUGAAAUACUUUGGUGGGCAAGAGAGGGGUGAGUACCACUGGGCAUGUCUUUCCUCAGAGCUUUGAGAGAUUUGGAGAGAGAUUUCUGGUGAUUGGCCUUGAAUUAUUUUAUUUUAUUUUUCCAGUUUAAAAGAAAAGGAGCACCCAGACUGCUUGCCUAUCUGAGAUCUUGUUCCACUAGCCAGGUGGCUUUUGAUCCAUGAAGCAGCGUCUCAGCUGCAUACCUCACUGGAAGAAAAUCUUACAGACAUUGAAGUUUUGCAACCGAACAGUUAUGCGCUUGUCUUGCUUCCAGCGUUUCUUCACAGUCCCCAUUUAGGCCCAGAAACUAGAGCUGCAAGUUCUAGUCUCAGCAGUAACGUCUCCCCCGUCAUUAAAUAAUUGAGUUAGUUCUGCAAGCUCCAACCCAAGGCAGAGACACUACCUCAUAGCUGGUGGGUCGCUGGCAGCAGGUUUGACAAAACCCUUUGAGGGUGGCUAGUGGAGGCUCUUUCCUGGCAGGUUCAAGCUUGGUUUGUUAGGUCAGUGGGGAGACAGACGGGGCGAACCACGCUGCUCCCUUGCCAACCCACGCUGGCCGAGGUUGGUUACAUUUUGGCUGUACCUUUCAGCGCAGCAUUAGGAAGACAGAAGAAGAGCCUGUGGUCCUUCGCUGAAUAAGAGAAGCAAAUUGAGGUAUUGGAGUCCUCAGGAGAUGCUGUUUUGCUGCCCUCUAGGCAAAGAUUAAAGCUUAAAACAUGGAAGUUAAAGAAAACGCUGUCCUGGGCACACCAAUGCAAAGCAGGAGGUUGAGAAGGUAGGAAGAAUUCUUGUGGGACUUCAUUAAGGUGUGAAUGUAAGAUCUCUAAGAGAUCUCCAGGCUCAGAUAAGCAAGAUCCAGUGGUAUACAACAAAGAAUUAUCAGGAAAGGCAUCAUAAUUACAAAGUACUUUUAUAUUAAAAUGAUGUCAUGUAAUAGGUUGAAGAACAAAAAAUAUAUAAGCCGUGCAGAUCUUCUUUAUCUAAAUAAUUGUUUUCUUAUGCAUUAUGCAGCAAACUUCUCAUAUAAUUCCUGCCCUUUAAUGGUAAACCUUAUUAAAUAAAGACUUUGAAACUAUUUUAACGUUUCA
Molecule: long non-coding RNA, 2031 nt
Filed under: Anas platyrhynchos platyrhynchos (common mallard)
Lineage: Eukaryota; Metazoa; Chordata; Aves; Anseriformes; Anatidae
Description: lncRNA (ENSAPLG00000028779.1)
Source: RNAcentral